Nicotiana tabacum (common tobacco) is the source of this 1065-nucleotide non-coding RNA. Lineage: Eukaryota; Viridiplantae; Streptophyta; Magnoliopsida; Solanales; Solanaceae. The record is from RefSeq and is a predicted model, not a curated record.
GAAAGCUGAAAGUUUGGGUUUUUAAUUCUAAUUUCCCAAGCCCAACUAUUUUUCGCCUAAAUUACCCCAGAUGCCCUCCAAACCCUACCCAGUUUCAGUUACACACACACAAAUAUAGAGCCCUAAUCUCUCAAGAGCACAAACGAUGCUCAUUGUUCAAUCAUCGUUCUCAUUCGAACCAAGCCCCAAUUCAGUCCAAAUUCAGGCGAGUGAAUCCCAAAUGCCUAACCCACGCAUCCCCCCAUCUCUCUCUUACCGUUCUAACGGUUUCUGAUGCCAAGAUUCCCCUCUUCUUUCACUCACUCAAAAUUGGAUAUAUCUCACGAUUGGAAGGUUCUAGAGAGGGAUUCUCUAGAUGAGUGUGAGGCGUUGAAUUGAUUUCACUCAAUCCGAGCCCCACAUUCAUCAGGGGGUUCGUUCUCAAAAGGAACUGGAUCCGAUUUUGAGAGGGGGAUUCGAAAAAAUAUUUUAGAGAAAAUUUGAAAGGUUUUCUUUAACUUCUGGGUUUCUAUUCUCUGAAUUGAUUUUCUUCUUUUAAGAGUUCUUUCAAAGUUUAACAGAAGCAUAUACAAUUUUUUAUUAUCUGAGUCCGACUUUGAGUUCCAAAGAGAUGAAAAAAAUGAAUUGAAGUUCGACCUUGGUUCUGUUGUUGUUCUGUUGAGUUGCAGUUGAACCUCGCUAGUACUCGAAGGCAAAAGGCAUAUUAUUAAGGCUGUAAUUAUUAACAGAAGUUCGCAACUUCAGAUCACUUGUAGGAAAAUCAGUAGUGCCUAGCUUUCUAAACUCUGCUUCGUUUGGUAUGGACAGUCGUGGGUACAAGAUUUGUUUUUUUUGUGUGCAUUUUCACUCGUUUGGCCAACCUCAUGUUCAUUCGUUUGGCCAGCCUUCCCGCUAAGAACAGUGGAGUUCCAUUUCUAUGCCAAUUAAGAUUUGGAGUUGAAUCUUGUUAAGUUGAUUAGCAUAUGUUCAACUUUUAUUAAAUUGAAUAAUCACCAAGUGGUGUUUUGCUCUGUUGUCAUGGUUGAUCUAUUUUGCUCGAUUUCAUUAAGAUGGAAGGUUGGUUGA